RNAcentral lists this ribosomal RNA (548 nucleotides) under uncultured Glomeromycotina. RNAcentral describes it as "SSU rRNA". It matches the Rfam family "Eukaryotic small subunit ribosomal RNA", at positions 548 to 1098 of the family's 1831-position model. The record is from RNAcentral. Lineage: Eukaryota; Fungi; Glomeromycota.
UUGGAGGGCAAGUCUGGUGCCAGCAGCCGCGGUAAUUCCAGCUCCAAUAGCGUAUAUUAAAGUUGCUGCAGUUAAAAAGCUCGUAGUUGAAUUUCGGGACCAUCAUGUCGGUCGUGCCUCGGUACGUACUGGCAUUGUUGGUUUCUCCCUUCUGACGAACCAUGAUGUCAUUUAUUUGGUGUCGUGGGAAAUCAGGACUGUUACUUUGAAAAAAUUAGAGUGUUUAAAGCAGGCUCACGCUUGAAUACAUUAGCAUGGAAUAAUGAAAUAGGACGUUUGAUUCCAUUUUGUUGGUUUCUAGGAUCGACGUAAUGAUUAAUAGGGAUAGUUGGGGGCAUUAGUAUUCAAUUGUCAGAGGUGAAAUUCUUGGAUUUAUUGAAGACUAACUACUGCGAAAGCAUUUGCCAAGGAUGUUUUCAUUAAUCAAGAACGAAAGUUAGGGGAUCGAAGACGAUCAGAUACCGUCGUAGUCUUAACCAUAAACUAUGCCGACUAGGGAUCGGAUGAUGUUAAUUUUUUAAUGACUCAUUCGGCGCCUUACGGGAAAC